UCCUAACUCCCUGAAAGCAUG
Molecule: non-coding RNA, 21 nt
Filed under: Caenorhabditis elegans
Lineage: Eukaryota; Metazoa; Nematoda; Chromadorea; Rhabditida; Rhabditidae
Source: RNAcentral